Molecule: long non-coding RNA, 280 nt
Filed under: Trifolium pratense (red clover)
Lineage: Eukaryota; Viridiplantae; Streptophyta; Magnoliopsida; Fabales; Fabaceae
Description: long non-coding RNA (TPRA_LNC001788)
Source: RNAcentral
GUAAAGAUUCUUUUAUAGAUUUGUGGUAGUGAAAAAUUAAAAUGCUAUUAUGCUUGAGUGGUUAAUCUACUCUCUUAUUUCUCUUUUUGGCUUCUUUGAAGUCUAAGUUUUGAGUGAUCUUGUAAUUUGUUUUGGAAACAAAGAAAUGAUCUUGUAAUUUGUUUUGGAAACAAAGAAAGGUGAUUUUCACAUAAAUAAAGUAAGAUUUUUUAUGAUUACACGACGCUUCUACAUUCUUUCUAAACCAAGGUCCUGGGUUCAACCCCUAACUUGAGCACGA